This 393-nucleotide ribosomal RNA is filed under the name uncultured bacterium. RNAcentral describes it as "partial 16S ribosomal RNA". It matches the Rfam family "Bacterial small subunit ribosomal RNA", at positions 523 to 918 of the family's 1533-position model. The record is from RNAcentral.
AUACGGAGGAUGCAAGCGUUAUCCGGAUUUAUUGGGUUUAAAGGGUGCGUAGGCGGAUGAUUAAGCGUGAGGUGAAAUGCCACUGCUCAACAGUGGAACUGCCUCGCGAACUGGUUGUCUUGAAUGCUCCUGCCGUGGGAGGAAUGUGUAGUGUAGCGGUGAAAUGCUUAGAGAUUACACAGAACACCGAUUGCGAAGGCAUCUCACGAAGGGUUGAUUGACGCUGAGGCACGAAAGCGUGGGGAUCAAACAGGAUUAGAUACCCUGGUAGUCCACGCAGUAAACGAUGAUGGCUAACCGCUGGUUUAUUCGGAUCAGUGGCCAAGCGAAAGCGAUAAGCCAUCCACCUGGGGAGUACGACCGCAGGGUUGAAACUCAAAUGAAUGGACGGGG